Molecule: long non-coding RNA, 932 nt
Organism: Phragmites australis (common reed)
Lineage: Eukaryota; Viridiplantae; Streptophyta; Magnoliopsida; Poales; Poaceae
Exons: 3
Source: RefSeq, a predicted model, not a curated record
AGACCCCAGAGCCCUGGGUCUGGCAGGAGUAGAGCCGUUGGUAGAUCGUUGUUGGUCGAACCCGGCGAAGAGAGACGGCGUCGCGCCUUCGGCCGCUGAACCAACCGGGGUGGAGCUAUCGUAGGUAACACGACGUGCCGAGGUCAACCGCCGUGCCGAGGUCAACCGCCUGCUCGCCCUCGAGAAGCGCAAGCGAUUCGCAGAGGCCGCCGCCGCCGCCACCGCAUUCCCCAUCUCCGACACCACAGUCGCCGCCGACUCCACCUCAGCCACGGGUGGGGUUCCAGGUGGUGCUGGAGUUGUGCAGCCCCGACGAGUUCUCGGUGGCGGUGGGACCGGCAGGGAGCAAAUCCUACCCCGGGGAGGCCGACUGCCUCGUUGCCGUCCAAGACUGCCUCGCCUUGGCUUCGCACGAGGAAAGUCAUUAAGAACCUCCCUAGGUCGACUGGCAAAAAUUGGGCCUCUGACAAAGAAGUAGACGAUCUUCUCAAGAAACUGCCUCAGCAAUUACAAGAUGCACUUUUACCCUUCCAACUUGAAGGCGUGAGAUUUGGGCUUCGAAUGAGAUGGGGCUCGGUAAGACUCUCCAGGCAAUUGCGAUAGCUUGUUGCUUCAAGGAUGAGGGCCCAAUAUUAAUCGUGUGUCCAGCUGUAGUGUGUUAUACUUGGGUAGAGGAAUUGGAACGUCGGGAUCCUUCAUGGGAGUGCUCACGGAAUUGUUGUGGAAUAGGUAGUUCUACUCCACAGCUACUUUUGUACAGCACUCAUGGGCAUUCUUCAAAAGGACGCCGAUCUUUUCAAAUCACUGGACACCCCUUUUUUGGGCAUGUAUGUUGAAUGCAACCAGGCGUGUGUUGUCCUUUUUGUAUGUGUCUGUUUUUUACAAUCUGUCUCCAUCUUCAGUGAUGGCUUUGGUGUCAAUUAAAGAAUAUU